Molecule: long non-coding RNA, 4541 nt
Organism: Asparagus officinalis (garden asparagus)
Lineage: Eukaryota; Viridiplantae; Streptophyta; Magnoliopsida; Asparagales; Asparagaceae
Exons: 2
Source: RefSeq, a predicted model, not a curated record
UCUACACUACACACCUAACAUAGCCAUCACCAAAUCUUUGGACUAGAUAAACAAAUCUUCACAACCAUAAGAUCACUCAAACUUUCUUAUACUCAUAGGAAACAGCGUUUGCUAUAACAUACAACAAAAUAAGGAAGAGGUAACUGAAUGUGAAGUUUUUUGUCCCAUUUCGACUAAGCUUCUUUGUCGCAGCCAGGCCCAUCCGAAUUAUAGUAAUUAGCAAUCCGAUGACAACUAUUACGAGAUCAGUUAUGACAAAACCUAUCUUAGUUUCACAUUUUACAGCAUACGCAAUCAAUGCAAUAGAUGCUCCAAUUGUAAAAAUUCCAAUCGUCUUAUUAUAAUCUCGAUCAGUUUUUAAAUCAUCAUCUAAGUUGUAGCACGAGCUCGUGCUGCAGCAUCUCCACCAUCAGCUUCAGCACAACCGUUUCAAGCAUAUCAAGUGUUCUGUGUGGAGCGGUGCUCAGAGAAGUUACAGAAGAAAAUAGAUACUAUCUUGGUAUACAAUUUGGUAGAUCAAAACAUGCUUAAUGAUAUAUGUUAUAAUGUUGCUAUUAUAUUUUGUCAGAUUAAAUGUUAGAAUGUACCAGCGAAAACCCCAUAGAGGUCCAUAAAGAUGUGUUGAACAACGAACGGAAGCUACGUAGGAGGGAGAGAUUUAAGUUCCACAGGAACUUUGGGUACAAGGACAUUCACUGCAUGAAGAGCCUUCUGUAAAAUUUUAUUAUUUACUUCUUCAAGAAAAUGGCCAUGGAAGAAUUCACUGAUUAUAAGAUGGGUGGACUAACCUCCCCUCUAAAUACUCCUUUUUUUUAGAUAUUGACUAGAUAACUAUCCAGCUUAAGGGUUCCGAGCUGGUGGCAGAGUUCCAUUACAUCCAUCAGAAGGUUGGUGUUUCUGCUUUUGUCAUCCGACCGACCUCGAUGAAACCUUAAAAAGUUUCCAUUAUGAUCUUUUGCCACUGCAAAAUAUCUUCUUGUUGCUUUAUCUGCAUCCGAUCUCGAUAAAAAGUUAACUUUUAGGGUCGAUCAUUUUAACAACCGAUUGGCCAAUGUUGAGGAGCCGGCGGGCGACGGAGCCUAAGGAGGUUCUUGUGAAUAAAUGGCCUGGCAUCGCUCUAUCGCAGAGAGGAUUCGUGGUGGUGUCCGGUUGAAGAGUCGGAGGCGCAAACGAACAAAUACUCGCCGCGGAGACGGGGUUCGACGGUGGUGGGGGCGGAUGGUAAGAGGGACAACGGUGGUGUUGGGAUGGUUGGACGCGCCCCUGUCAAAGCAGCACUCCCGUCGUCACUGCUGUUCGAACACUGGUGACGGUGGCAAACCUCAAGCCAAACCCUAGCUGCUGAACUUAGUUUUCUUAUUGAGUUUAAAUUGUUAUUGCGUUUUCGAAGCCCAAACCAAUCAGGUAUAAGUUUUUCAACUUAACAGGUUUGACCCGCAUUAAUUUGAAACUCGAAAUUCAUUUAGUGCUAGAUUUCAAGUUAAACAGAUUUGACCUGAUAUAACUUUAAACUGGAAACCCGAAUCAUAUUAUGAAUAGGAUAUUUGAUAUCGGGUAUGACCCUAACCCAAGUUCAAAACAAACUUAAUUUCGCAAAACGGGUCUGACUUGAGAACAAAACGCGUACCCGAACUUUGUUAGUUUUUAAUUUUAUUGUAAAAUUAUUGAAACCCCUGAUCGACCCAAAAAAAUUUCUAACCUCCAUCGGGUUCUCAAACAUGAUGUAAAUUUAGUUAUGGCCCCCUGAUUGAUCCAAAAAUUAUUGUGCAGCUCACCAGUUUAUUAAUUUGCUAUAAAAAUUAUUUUAGCUCCCUGAUUCAUGCUGAAAUUGUUUUAGAGCCCAUCUGAGUAUUAAGGCUAAUUUUUUAUUAGUCCCUAACUGUAGCGCAAAUUGUUUUAAUGUCCAUAUACAUGUAUAAUUUAGUUUCUUUUAUUGAUAAGAUUAUUCAACUCUUAUUGAAUUGUUAGGAUUGAUAUUGUAUCAUGUAUAUUUCUGAAAUACUCGUGACAUGAAUGUGUUGAUUUUAAAUUGUUUAAAUUUAACAAUUCAUGUGAUUAAAGUAAUUGCAUGGAAAAUUACUGUUCGGUCCAGAAUAUGUUCUAAAUUUUUUAUUAAAUAUAAACAAUUUAAAACUUGUUAGAAAUUGACUGCUUAUUGAAAUUUUCUAUAUAAAUGAAAACUGCUGGACAAUCUUUAUUCUCAUUUCUCACAAUCUUUCUUUAGAUUUUACAGGCACCUGGCUUGAGUUUUUUGGGCACUGGCUACUUAAUGCAGCUCCAUCCUUCUUUGUCCAGGCUUAGGGCAAGCCUUGCAAGGACUAAUGUUUUAAGCAUGACAUUUGCAGAGUCUAGUCUCAACUGUUUAUUUUGCAAUAUGCUAUUUAGAAAUGAAGAUUCUAGCCUUUGCAGUGAUUUAAAUGUGAAAGUAUUUAAAGGCCAAGAGGGUAGAUAGACAUGCUGUCAUAACCAGGAUGCGACAUGCGGCUACCCACGAAUUCUGACAUGUAGCAAUCAGACAGUGAAAACAUGACCCUGAGUGUAGGGUUUAUACAUUUGACAUAGACAUGACUUGACAAUAGUGUUACCACUAGUGUGAUUAUAUAUUGGAUUUGAGUCCGCUUUCCAGUGGAAAAUUUUAGGCAUGAAGAAAGAUUUUUAGGUGAAUAACAAAGGGAUUAUUUGCGUUACUUUUGUAAUUAACAACAAAUAUAUAAAAUGCUUUCAGCAAAUAAAAAGCAAUUAGUUACAGGUGCGGGCAGAUUUGUUAGUAAUAGUAUGAACUGAACCUUUGAGAAUUAUCAGGCAUGCUUCUUGGAGUAUUUUCUACUUUAUUCUUUAUAUACUGUUAAAAGAGAGGUAUCAGUUUUUUUAAUUAUCUUCAGAAUAUGGAUUGCCCACACGAAGGUAGUCUCUAUUAUGAAGUUCUGUCUUUCUGAUAGAUAUUUUGAAGUACCAUUUAGCUUAAUUUCAGUUUGACCACUACGGAUUUAGAGGACCACCUGAGCUUUGCCAGUUUCCGCUUCCUCUUUUAGGCAGAGUAGGGUUGUAGUUCAUUUGUUGAAUCGUAAUUUGCGGAAACCUUGUUUCAAGUUCUCUCAGCCAACAGAUUACCCCGCAGAGAAAAAUUUAGUUGUAGGUCAUGCUACUACUUGCACAUGAACUGCUGGUUUUAGUAUGUUGUUGAGUAGAUUAUACUCUUAACAUUAAAAGAAAAUAGCGAAGCAGGGUUUGUACCUGACAAAGUCUUCCUUGCUGCUGACUUCAAUUUCUCCUUUUUUCGUGUACGUAUUUCUUCCUCGAUGACAUGCUGAAGAGUAUCCUGUUAACUGUUAUUAUUGGGAUUUUCCAGAGCCAUUCUAAAAUCUAAAGUCAACAUUUCUCUAAAUGGUGUAUAUGUUUCAGGUUGUAAAUACUUCAGAGAAAUCAAAGGCCAAAGGAGCAAGAAACGGUGAGCUUGUUGCUGCCAAGGCUCAACAGACAUCAUUUCAGCUAGUCGAUCAUGGCCAGCGCCUGCCUGCUACAUAACCUGACAUUGUGAAUACUUCUCAGGCUGGAAAUUUUCAAGUCCUCAACGGAGAGAAGAAUGACACCUCUACUAAUCUCAUAGAUGGACCACCUGUAACUAUGACUAGCAAAGUGGCAACAUCAGUUGAUAGCGUUCCAUCAGUUAACAAUUCAAUUCCACAUUUGAAGUUGAUGCCAACCAAUGCGAAACUCAAGCUAAUGGCGUAGGAGGCGAGAAGAAACCUCCAUUUGUCACAAGACAUAAACAACUCUUCUUUAAUUCCAUCCGGAAGCUAGCAGAAGAGAAAAGUGGUGUAUUGCAUCGUUAUUCUGAUCGUGAAGUGAGCUCUGCUACAUCAUCAUCUUCAUCCGAGCCACCAAUACCCAAUUCAGUGAUCAAAUCAGAUGAGCAGAUACUUGGAGUUUGUGCAGCUUCUGCCUGUGAGGAAAAGAACCUGAAACCUUAGUUGCUGAGAAUGACAAUGACAAUAUGCGCAAUGAAGAACCUGAAACCUUAGUUGUUUUGGAUGAGGAAGAAAAAACAUUUGUGGAUUCACUUGGAUGGAACGAAAAUGCUGGGGAGGAUGCCUUAACAGCUGAGGAGAUUGUCAAGAAGAGUCUCAGCAGGAUGGCAGUGAGUCUCGGCAGGAUGGCAGUGAGUCUCUUCAAGAUUGUAGUGAGUCUUGGCGGGAUGGCAAUCUGGAUUGAGUUUGUCCAUCUUGGCGCGAUGGCGGCAAGUUUUAAUUUUUUUUGUUAAUUGAUGGUGAUCGGGUUUGAAAGACAGAGAUCUGAUUGGAGCGAAGAGGAAUCAAAAGCCUAAGAUGUUUUCUCAAUGUGAAAGAUGGUGAGCUAUAAUUUUUUUCAGCCCUUUUGCUUCCUUCAAGAAUGUAAAAAAGAAUGCGUGGAAUGCAAAAUAAGAUGAUGGAUUGAUCGGAGUCAAGGAAGGUAGAUAUAAGUUUUCUAGAUAUCUGCACAGUAUUGGAAAUCUUAUUGCUUAAAUUUUCCUUUGAUGAAAAAAAAAUGGUAUCUUUUGUUUA